RNAcentral lists this ribosomal RNA (513 nucleotides) under uncultured bacterium. Its description in RNAcentral is "partial 16S ribosomal RNA". It matches the Rfam family "Bacterial small subunit ribosomal RNA", at positions 28 to 523 of the family's 1533-position model. The record is from RNAcentral.
GAUGAACGCUGGCGGCGUGCCUAAUACAUGCAAGUCGAGCGAACAGAUAAGGAGCUUGCUCCUUUGACGUUAGCGGCGGACGGGUGAGUAACACGUGGAUAACCUACCUAUAAGACUGUGAUAACUUCGGGAAACCGGAGCUAAUACCGGAUAACAUAUUGAACCGCAUGGUUCAAUAGUGAAAGGCGGCUCUGCUGUCACUUAUAGAUGGAUCCGCGCCGUAUUAGCUAGUUGGUAAGGUAACGGCUUACCAAGGCAACGAUACGUAGCCGACCUGAGGGGGUGAUCGGCCACACUGGAACUGAGACACGGUCCAGACUCCUACGGGAGGCAGCAGUAGGGAAUCUUCCGCAAUGGGCGAAAGCCUGACGGAGCAACGCCGCGUGAGUGAUGAAGGUCUUCGGAUCGUAAAACUCUGUUAUCAGGGAAGAACAAAUGUGUAAGUAACUGUGCACAUCUUGACGGUACCUGAUCAGAAAGCCACGGCUAACUACGUGCCAGCCGCCGCGGUAA